CCGCUGGAAGGUGCCAAAAUGAACAUAUCUUUUGCCUUUUACCAAAGAUAUCCGUUUGUAACCUUCAGACAGCAUUCAACAAUAUUUGGAAUAACCUCUCCUUUGAGACUU
This 111-nucleotide small nuclear RNA is filed under the name Taphrina deformans PYCC 5710. RNAcentral's name for it is "U5 spliceosomal RNA". It matches the Rfam family "U5 spliceosomal RNA". From Rfam's summary of the family: U5 RNA is a component of both types of known spliceosome. Lineage: Eukaryota; Fungi; Ascomycota; Taphrinomycetes; Taphrinales; Taphrinaceae. The record is from Rfam by way of RNAcentral.